This 365-nucleotide ribosomal RNA is filed under the name uncultured bacterium. Its description in RNAcentral is "partial 16S ribosomal RNA". It matches the Rfam family "Bacterial small subunit ribosomal RNA", at positions 94 to 526 of the family's 1533-position model. The record is from RNAcentral.
AGUGGCGGACGGGUGAGUAAUGUCUGGGAAACUGCCUGAUGGAGGGGGAUAACUACUGGAAACGGUAGCUCAUACCGCAUACCAUCAUAUUUGCCCAGAUGGGCUUAGCUUGUUGGUGGGGUAACGGCUAACCAAGGCGACGCUGCCUCGCUGGUCUGAGAGGAUGACUAGCAAGACGGGAACGGAGACAGGGUCCAGACUCGUACGGUAGGCAGCAGUGGGGAAUAGUGGAAAAUGGGCGAAAGCCUGAUGCAGCAAGGCCGCGGGUAUGAAGAAGGCCUUCGGUUUGUAAAGUACGUUCAGCGGGGAGGCGGUACCCGAAGAAGAAGCAACGGCUAACUCCGUGCCAGCAGCAGAGGUAAUAC